GAUUAAGAACGUAGCGAAAUGCGAUAAGUAGUGUGAAUUGCAGAAUUCAGUGAAUCAUCGAAUCUUUGAACGCACAUUGCGCCCCUUGGUAUUCCAUGGGGCAUGCCUGUUCGAGCGUCAUCUACACCCUCAAGCUCUGCUUGGUGUUGGGCGUCUGUCCCGCCCCCGCGCGUGGACUCGCCCCAAAUCCAUUGGCAGCGUUCCUUGCCCCCUCUCGCGCAGCACAUUGCGCUUCUCGAGGGCGGCUCCGGGACGCGAUCCAGCAAGAUGACCACCGUCUUUGACCUCGGAUCAGGUAGGGAUACCCGCUGAACUUAAGCAUAUCAAUAAGCGGAGGA
RNAcentral lists this unclassified non-coding RNA (338 nucleotides) under soil metagenome. RNAcentral's name for it is "partial contains 5.8S ribosomal RNA, internal transcribed spacer 2, and large subunit ribosomal RNA". The stretch from base 1 to 120 matches the Rfam family "5.8S ribosomal RNA", at positions 35 to 154 of the family's 154-position model. The record is from RNAcentral.